AGAUUGAACGCUGGCGGCAGGCCUAACACAUGCAAGUCGAGCGGUAGAGAGGUGCUUGCAUCUCUUGAGAGCGGCGGACGGGUGAGUAAUGCCUAGGAAUCUGCCUAGUGGUGGGGGAUAACGUUCGGAAACGGACGCUAAUACCGCAUACGUCCUACGGGAGAAAGCGGGGGACCUUCGGGCCUCGCGCCAUUAGAUGAGCCUAGGUCGGAUUAGCUAGGUUGUGAGGUAAUGGCUCACCAAGGCGACGAUCCGUAACUGGUCUGAGAGGAUGAUCAGUCACACUGGAACUGAGACACGGUCCAGACU
RNAcentral lists this ribosomal RNA (309 nucleotides) under uncultured soil bacterium. Its description in RNAcentral is "bacterial SSU rRNA". It matches the Rfam family "Bacterial small subunit ribosomal RNA", at positions 26 to 337 of the family's 1533-position model. The record is from RNAcentral.